AUUGAACGCUGGUGGCAUGCUUAACACAUGCAAGUCGAACGGUAACGGAGGUGUGCUUGCACACCUGCCGACGAGUGGCGGACGGGUGAGUAAUGCAUAGGAAUCUGCCCAGCAGUGGGGGACAACUUAGGGAAACUUAAGCUAAUACCGCAUAAUGCCUAAGGGUUAAAGAUGGCUGUUUACAGCUGUCGCUGUCGGAUGAGCCUAUGUCAGAUUAGCUUGUUGGUGGGGUAAUGGCCCACCAAGGCAACGAUCUGUAGCUGUUCUGAGAGGAAGAUCAGCCACACUGGGACUGAGACACGGCCCAG
Molecule: ribosomal RNA, 308 nt
Filed under: uncultured bacterium
Lineage: Bacteria
Description: bacterial SSU rRNA
Rfam family: Bacterial small subunit ribosomal RNA
Source: RNAcentral